Callorhinchus milii (elephant shark) is the source of this 295-nucleotide long non-coding RNA. RefSeq lists it as uncharacterized. NCBI's taxonomy places the organism in Eukaryota, Metazoa, Chordata, Chondrichthyes, Chimaeriformes, Callorhinchidae. The record is from RefSeq and is a predicted model, not a curated record. The transcript has 3 exons.
UGCAGCCUGGACAGCAUAGAUGUGAGCUGGAUGCUGGAAAACUUCUAAAUGUAUUUAGGCCCUAAGCGUUUCAUGCGACUGUGUGGAUCAAAGUGCAAUGGGAAGGAAUGACUACAUGCAGAGUCCUAGGAUCAAAUGUGGUCACACAGCAAAGUGGCGUUGGUGGUCUGAAAGAUGGAAACGAUAGCAUUUAGCGGAAGGAAGCAGCUGUGUUUGGAAAGGGCAAUGAUGGCCUUUGAAAGGGAAAUAAAGGAGGACAGACUCCACCGCACCAGCAGCCUCAGGGGACUGUAGG